This 3684-nucleotide long non-coding RNA is filed under the name Sus scrofa (pig). RNAcentral describes it as "lncRNA (ENSSSCG00000053717.1)". Lineage: Eukaryota; Metazoa; Chordata; Mammalia; Artiodactyla; Suidae. The record is from RNAcentral.
AUGGCUCUUGAGCCCUUGAAUUGUGGCUAGUACAACUAGAAAAGGAAUGCUUUAAGUAACUGUAAUUCCAUUUAAAGCUAAAAGUCACGGUUGGCUGGAUACUGGCAGUACUGUUCUUAAAGAAGCCAUGGACUAAGAAAAGACAAAAAUUUCUCUAUUGGCUGCUCUACCAUUUGGCCUGUGAAUUAAACAAUCUGCUCAGCCACUGCUUAGAAAUUCCUCCUUGCCCUGGGGGUCUGGGUCCCACAGUCAGGAGGAAGUAAGAAAGUCAGCAAUUUGAUGCUAUUGGAGGCUGAAUAUUCUAAGAAUGAAAAUCAAAUAGAGUCCCUUUCCUUUUAUUCUCUUUAUUGCUCAAAAUCAUGAUAUAUUUUAUUUUGGUUUAUAUUUGGACUAUGAUGUUCUUGCAUAUAUUUCUUUUGUUAUUUCUGGAGAUUCUAAAUGCUUUUGCUUUACCUGGUGGGCAGACCAACUAUUUACCUUCAAGAACUUCCAGUUACUUUUUUAUUGCUAUGUAUUUAAUGGCAUCCACUUUUCAUGGAGACACCAUUCUCAGGACCCUGUGAAAUCCUCCACUAAUUUAGGCCUCUUGCUUUCUUUACCUGCUAAACAGCUGUCAUCUUGAGUUUUCUUGGCAUAUUCCUGAGUUAGUUCAUUCAUACAUUCAAUAAAUAUUUGUUGAACACCUACUAAAUGCCAGAUACUGUGAUAAACACUAGGAAGUCAGUGAUGAAGAAAACCAAGUCCCUGAACUCAUGGCGUUUUUAUUUCAGCAGGGGAGACAGGGGUAAACAGAUAAAUAAAAAUAAUAUGUCAGGCAGUGAAAAUAAAGACGAGUGAGGGGAAUAGAGGAUGCCAUGAAUGAAGAAAGUUAUGUGACUAUUUUAGGCAGGUCGGUCAUGGAAGCUUUUACAAUGAGAUGAAAGUCUGAAUAAAGGCCUAAGAGAAGAAAGAACACAGCCAUGUGACUAUUAGGCAAAGAAUGUACCUAACAGCCAAUGCAAAUGUUCCCAGGUGAGACUGCUUGAACUCUUUGUCCAUGCACAGUUUGUCAACCUGUCCUAAUUUGCGGGAGUGGAAGAACACAGGAGGAACACUUUAAAGAACAUUUCAACUCUGGGACAGGAACAUUUUUAUUAGAGAUUCUAGUUUUGCCUUGGCAGAAUGCCUUUGUUUGUUUGACUCAGAAGAUCAUGACUCCAGCCUGAUUCACUCUGUGAGUGUGUGUGUGUGUGUGUGUGUGUGUGUGUGUUAGGGAUGAAGGAGUAAGACAACUCACCUGACUACUGUGACAGCAAUUUCCCAAAAUUACUUGAACUUCUGUCUCAUGACCCAGUUGAGUUCUGUGUCCACAACUUCUUCAACUACAGAUUUCAUAAUUUCACUAUGUUCUGGACUAUUUCUUUCUCUGUUCUGAUUUAUCAAAUAAUCCAUACUGCUUUCCAUAUUAUAAAGAUUCUUCAAUAUCUCUCAUCACUGAAGGCUCCUUUCUCAGGCUGGGACUAUAUAUAGGUUAUUCUUUUCUUACUAACACUUUAAUGGGAUCUUGGAAAGAAAGUAAAUUCAUGUAUACCUUAAACUUGAAGUCAGAAUUCUUAUGGGCUGAUAUAGCUGAAGAAUGAUUGAGAGUAGACUGGGUAGGACAUUCCUGAGUGGCCACAACACUGAGGAAAACAGUAGAGAAUCAGCCCUUUCCUGUUAUGUUCUGAGAGCCCUUGUCUAUGACAAUUACAUUGUCUGGACUAUUAUGGUUUUAUUAUAUAUUGUAUGCUAAAAAUCGAUAUUGUAAGACUGCAAGCCAGGGGCUUUACAGACUGAGUGACUUGUGAAAGGUCCUUAGGAAGGUGAGUUAUAGUUAAGGUUGGGGAUGUAGACAUCAGUAUCAGUAAUUCAGUCCUAUCAGUAGCAAUGCAAAAUGAAUAUGUCCCUCGAAAUAGACAUUGCUAAUGAGAGACCAUGUUCUAAAGAGUCUUAGGUACGUCAUUGUUAAAGAUUAUGUUUUAAAGUAUUUUAUUCAUUUUGUUUCCUUAAAAAAGGAAGGAGGGCUAGCCUAUUAAUUAAAAUAAAGACUCCAGAACCAGAUUUGGGGUGUUUAAAAUCUGUCUAUUAAAUGCAACAGCUUUUUAAAUAAGCAGCGCCCUGCCAGCCUGGAAGUCUGAGAGCCAGAAGUGGUAUUCAGGGAUUUCUGAGAGCCAGAAGUGGUACUCAGGGAUUUCAGCCAAUUAAAUGAAUCUGUCCUGAUCAUCAUUAGAUGGCAGUCUCCCUGCUGGUCCCUGAAGUCAGAGAGAUAGGAGAAACAUUUUCCUGUGUAUAGGGAGCUUACAGCUAAAUAGGGAGAUGGUGGCAUAAAGAAAUUAUUACUCUAACAUUUCUGGGUUAAACUAAAAAAUAAAGAUGUAAUAUUAACAAUCACAUCUUAUAAGCUUACCAUUAGAAUAUAAACUAUUCUAUAUGUGUAUUAAACUGGGUUUUUAAAAUCACAAGUCAGAAGCUAUGUAGCUCAGCCAAGAGGCUAGCACAUAGUAGGGGACUAAAUAGGACUGGAUUGGAAAGCAAGAAACUACCAACAAUGUUACUAACAAAUAUGGUAAUAAUGUGUGAUGAAAAUAUCCUAAACACUAAUAGAGGAAGGAAUUUAGAGAAUUUCCAGUCUAUCCUUUUUAUAAAUAAAGAAAUCGUGACCUGGAGACUUACCUGGGAAAGAUGUAGAAUUUAAGUGCAGAUGCAAACUUUCAGUCAGAAGUUCUUUUUCACUGUAACUGCAAGAUAAAAAUGCCUGAUAAGUCUCACAUAGAACACAAAAAGGCACAGAAAUCACUUUUAUUAUGUCACAGUAGCCACCAUAAUUGCCAGUUGUGCUUCUCCUGCCUUCUUUCAUUUUAACCAAUCAUCCAUUCAUUCAAAAGUGUAGAGAAAACUAUCAGUUCCAGACCCUGUGUUACUUUCUGGAGAUACAGCCUUUGCCCUCAUGGAGUUCAUGGUCUAGGAGGGAACACAGGUAAAAACAAUAUAAUAUUACUGUUAUACAUCACAAUUAUAUUAUCAUAAUUAUAUGUAAUAUGUAUAAAUAUAUAUACGACCAAAUAAUAUAAAACAACUAUAGAAGAAAUAUAGGUGCCAGAUUACUAAAAAAAAAGAGCACUGAUUACUUUAUAUGCAAAAGCAGUAACAGAAGCAUGAAGCAUGGGAAAAGCACGGAAAUACAGAACAGAGGAUAAUUGCCUGCAUAGUUAGGGAAGGUUUGAAAAGGAGGUUCUCCUGAUCGUGGUGCUGAUGAAUGAGUAGGACGAUUUCAGGUGGAACCUGGCAGGCAACUAGUCUAGGAGAAUGUGCCUACCUCUAGAUGUUUAGGUGUGCUUACCUUAGUAAGAAGAGAUUCAGGGGGCAGAUUCUGUCACACCCUGGGCUACAUUUGCUGUUCUUCCCCCCAAGACCCUUGCUCUUGAGUUUUUCACCCAAAACACUUUCUUAGCUCAGCACUUUCUCUGCUUUUCCACUGGCUCUACAGUCAUCCUCUCACCCACAGUACUUCCUGUGAUGGUCAUGGGGUUGGAGGUUGGGUUUACUUGUCCGCAUCAUUGCUAUUUAUAUAUAUAUAUAAAUAUAAACCCAACGUGGGUUCAAUCCCUGGCUGUACCAUUCUCCAGAAUGUGCUCUGGAGAAAUAACUAUAUUUUCCUGUUAUUAA